CGCGAACACUCCUACGGGGAGGCAGCAGUAGGGAAUCUUCCACAAUGGGCGCAAGCCUGAUGGAGCAACACCGCGUGAGUGAAGAAGGGUUUCGGCUCGUAAAGCUCUGUUGUUAAAGAAGAACACGUAUGAGAGUAACUGUUCAUACGUUGACGGUAUUUAACCAGAAAGUCACGGCUAACUACGUGCCAGCAGCCGCGGUAAUACGUAGGUGGCAAGCGUUAUCCGGAUUUAUUGGGCGUAAAGAGAGUGCAGGCGGUUUUCUAAGUCUGAUGUGAAAGCCUUCGGCUUAACCGGAGAAGUGCAUCGGAAACUGGAUAACUUGAGUGCAGAAGAGGGUAGUGGAACUCCAUGUGUAGCGGUGGAAUGCGUAGAUAUAUGGAAGAACACCAGUGGCGAAGGCGGCUACCUGGUCUGCAACUGACGCUGAGACUCGAAAGCAUGGGUAGCGAACAGGAUUAGAUACCCUGGUAG
RNAcentral lists this ribosomal RNA (474 nucleotides) under uncultured bacterium. RNAcentral's name for it is "bacterial SSU rRNA". It matches the Rfam family "Bacterial small subunit ribosomal RNA", at positions 328 to 793 of the family's 1533-position model. The record is from RNAcentral.